Long non-coding RNA from Oncorhynchus keta (chum salmon), 507 nucleotides. RefSeq lists it as uncharacterized. The transcript is spliced from 3 exons. Lineage: Eukaryota; Metazoa; Chordata; Actinopteri; Salmoniformes; Salmonidae. The record is from RefSeq and is a predicted model, not a curated record.
UAGAACAGGUUUGUGAACUCAGCCCCAGGACCAGCUGGAUGAGGGGACUGAUGCUUCAGUGUGUUAGUAGAACAGGUUAGUGAACUCAGCCCCAGGACCAGCUGGAUGAGGGGACUGAGGCUUCAGUGUGUUAGUAGAACAGGUUAGUGAACUCAGCCCCAGGACCAGCUGGAUGAGGGGACUGAGGCUUCAGUGUGUUAGUAGAACAGGUUAGUGAACUCAGCCCCAGGACCAGCUGGAUGAGGGGACUGAGGCUUCAGUGUGUUAGUAGAACAGGUUAGUGAACUCAGCCCCAGGACCAGCUGGAUGAGGAGACUGAGGCUUCAGUGUGUUAGUAGAACAGGUUAGUGAACUCAGCCCCAGGACCAGCUGGAUGAGGGGACUGAGGCUUCAGUGUGUUAGUAGAACAGGUUAGUGAACUCAGCCCCAGGACCAGCUGGAUGAGGGGACUGAGGCUUCAGUGUGUUAGUAGAACAGGUUUGUGAACUCAGCCCCAGGACCAGCUGG